UACGAGGGGGGCAAGCGUUGUUCGGAUUUAUUGGGCGUAAAGGGUGCGUAGGCGGUUUGGCAAGUCUUGUGUGAAAUCUUCGGGCUCAACCCGAAGCCUGCAUAAGAAACUGCCGGGCUUGAGUAUGGGAGAGGGGGGUAGAAUUCCACGUGUAGCAGUGAAAUGCGUAGAGAUGUGGAGGAAUACCGAUGGCGAAGGCAGCCCCCUGGGCCAAUACUGACGCUCAUGCACGAAAGCGUGGGGAGCAAACAGG
Molecule: ribosomal RNA, 253 nt
Filed under: uncultured bacterium
Lineage: Bacteria
Description: partial 16S ribosomal RNA
Rfam family: Bacterial small subunit ribosomal RNA
Source: RNAcentral